Molecule: ribosomal RNA, 2186 nt
Filed under: human gut metagenome
Description: bacterial LSU rRNA
Rfam family: Bacterial large subunit ribosomal RNA
Source: RNAcentral
AUACAUAGACAUGAUGAGGCGAGACGCAGGGAACUGAAACAUCUAAGUACCUGCAGGAAGAGAAAAUAAGAAUGAUUUUCUGAGUAGCGGCGAGCGAAAGGGAAAGAGCCCAAACCGAUCUGAGGAUCGGGGUAGUAGGAUCAUCGAGAAAUCUGACAGAGGAUCAUAGAGGAAUCACAUGGGAAGGUGAGCGAGAGAGGGUGAGAGCCCCGUACUCGAAAUGAGAGACUGGAGAGAGAUGACACCUGAGUAGGGCGGGACACGAGAAAUCCUGUCUGAAUCAGCCGGGACCAUCCGGCAAGGCUAAAUACGAGAGAGUGACCGAUAGUGAACCAGUACCGUGAGGGAAAGGUGAAAAGAACCCCGGGAGGGGAGUGAAAGAGAACCUGAAACCAUAUGCCUACAAGAAGUCAGAGCCCGUUAAAGGGUGAUGGCGUGCCUUUUGUAGAAUGAACCGGCGAGUUACUGUAUGGAGCGAGGUUAAGCAGGAUAUGCGGAGCCGAAGCGAAAGCGAGUCUUAAGAGGGCGCGAGUUGCAUGCAGUAGACCCGAAACCGGGUGAUCUAGCCAUGACCAGGUUGAAGUUGGGGUAAAACCCGAUGGAGGACCGAACCGACCCCCGUUGAAACGUUGGCGGAUGAGUUGUGGCUAGGGGUGAAAUUCCAAUCGAACCCGGAGAUAGCUGGUUCUCCCCGAAAUAGCUUUAGGGCUAGCGUCGAGGUAGAGAGUUGCGUGAAGGUAGAGCACUGAAUAUGUGAUGGCCCCAUCUCGGGGUACUGAGCAUAAUCAAACUGCGAAUGUCACGAGAACAUGCUCGGCAGUCAGACAGCGGGUGAUAAGGUCCGUUGUCAAGAGGGAAACAGCCCAGACCAUCAGCUAAGGUCCCAAAAUGUAUGCUAAGUGGAAAAGGAUGUGGAGAUGUACAGACAACUAGGAGGUUGGCUCAGAAGCAGCCAUCCUUUAAAGAGUGCGUAACAGCUCACUAGUCGAAUGACUCUGCGCCGAUAAUUUACCGGGGCUAAGCAUACUACCGAAGCUAUGGAUCCCAAGGGAUGGUAGGGGAGCGUUCCAUGAACGGAGAAGUACGACCGAAAGGACGUGUGGAGAUCAUGGAAGAGAGAAUGCCGGUGUGAGUAGCGGAACGUGGGUGAGAAUCCCACGCACCGAAAACCCAAGGUUUCCAGAGGAAGGUUCGUCCGCUCUGGGUAAGUCGGGACCUAAGGCGAGGCCGAAAGGCGUAGUCGAUGGACAACAGGUAGAGAUUCCUGUACCCGUAUAUAUGUGAAGGAAUGACGGAGAGAGGAAGCUGCAGCCAGCGGCUGGAAGAGCUGGUGCAAGCGAGAUAUCGGGAUGGCAGGCAAAUCCACCAUCCGAAACGAGAAGGCGUGAAGCGUACGGAAAGCUACGGCGAGUACGGAAGGCAGUGGAGGAACUUCCAAGAAAAGUUUCUAACGUUAAGUAUAUAUGGCCCGUACCGAAAAUGGACACACAUGGGUGAGGAGAGAAUCCUAAGGUGAGCGAGAGAACUAUAGCUAAGGAACUCUGCAAAAUGACUCCGUAACUUAGGGAGAAGGAGUGCUCAUAGAGAUAUGAGCCGCAGUGAAACGGCCCAAGCGACUGUUUACCAAAAACACAGCUCUCUGCUAAGCCGCAAGGCGAAGUAUAGGGGGUGACGCCUGCCCGGUGCUGGAAGGUUAAGGGGAAGUGUUAACGCAAGUGAAGCCCUGAAUUGAAGCCCCAGUAAACGGCGGCCGUAACUAUAACGGUCCUAAGGUAGCGAAAUUCCUUGUCAGGUAAGUUCUGACCCGCACGAAAGGCGUAACGAUUUGGGCGCUGUCUCAGCUGUAGACUCGGUGAAGUCUUAGUACCUGUGAAGAUGCAGGUUACCCGCGACUAGACGGAAAGACCCCAUGGAGCUUCACUGCAGGUUGAUAUUGGGAUUUGAUGCAGCAUGUACAGGAUAGGUAGGAGGCAAAGAGAUGGAUACGCCAGUAUUCAAGGAGCCGCUGUUGGGAUACUACCCCUGUUGUAUUGGAUUUCUAACCGGACGACGUAGAGCCGUUGACGGGACAGUGUCAGUCGGGCAGUUUGACUGGGGCGGUCGCCUCCCAAAGAGUAACGGAGGCGCCCAAAGAUACCCUCAGCUUGGAUGGAAACCAAGCGCAGAGUGCAAAGGCAAAAGGGUGU